Molecule: ribosomal RNA, 253 nt
Filed under: uncultured bacterium
Lineage: Bacteria
Description: partial 16S ribosomal RNA
Rfam family: Bacterial small subunit ribosomal RNA
Source: RNAcentral
UACGGAGGGUGCAAGCGUUAUCCGGAUUCACUGGGUUUAAAGGGUGCGUAGGUGGGCAGGUAAGUCAGUGGUGAAAUCUCCGGGCUUAACUCGGAAACUGCCAUUGAUACUAUCUGUCUUGAAUACCGUGGAGGUUAGCGGAAUAUGUCAUGUAGCGGUGAAAUGCUUAGAUAUGACAUAGAACACCAAUUGCGGAGGCAGCUGGCUACACGAAUAUUGACACUGAUGCACGAAAGCGUGGGGAGCAAACAGG